CCUACGGGAGGCAGCAGUGGGGAAUAUUGGGCAAUGGGCGCAAGCCUGACCCAGCAACGCCGCGUGAAGGAAGAAGGCUUUCGGGUUGUAAACUUCUUUUGUCAGGGAAGAGUAGAAGACGGUACCUGACGAAUAAUCCACGGCUAACUACGUGCCAGCAGCCGCGGUAAUACGUAGGUGGCAAGCGUUGUCCGGAUUGACUGGGUGUAAAGGGCGUGUAGCCGGGUUGACAAGUCAGAUGUGAAAUCCUGCGGCUUAACCGCAGAACUGCAUUUGAAACUGUUGAUCUUGAGUACUGGAGAGGCGGACGGAAUUCCUAGUGUAGCGGUGAAAUGCGUAGAUAUUAGGAAGAACACCGGUGGCGAAGGCGGUCUGCUGGACAGCAACUGACGGUGAGGCGCGAAAGCGUGGGGAGCAAACAGGAUUAGAUACCCUAGUAGUC
RNAcentral lists this ribosomal RNA (442 nucleotides) under uncultured bacterium. RNAcentral's name for it is "partial 16S ribosomal RNA". It matches the Rfam family "Bacterial small subunit ribosomal RNA", at positions 338 to 795 of the family's 1533-position model. The record is from RNAcentral.